This 3975-nucleotide long non-coding RNA is filed under the name Panax ginseng (ginseng). RNAcentral's name for it is "long non-coding RNA (PGIN_LNC010987)". Lineage: Eukaryota; Viridiplantae; Streptophyta; Magnoliopsida; Apiales; Araliaceae. The record is from RNAcentral.
UUUCUUGUUAGGUGUGUUUGGUUUAGCCGAAUUUGAGCACAGGUUCGGUUAUUACCCGAAUAUUCGAAUUUACAAUUCGGUAAUUCGGUUUUCGGUUAUUCGGUUAGUUUCAUAUUUCGGGUAGCAUUUCGGAUAGUAGAAUUAGCUAUAAUUCGGUAUUCGGUUAUAACCGAAUAGUCAUUUCGGUUCGGUUAUAACCGAAUGCUCACUCUAGUCUGCAACUAAUGAAUAACAUAAAAGUGCAAAUCUUUUAAAGAGUGAAAUUCUAUAGAGAGAACACAUAAAAGUAAAAAUAGGAAACUGAUAUUUUUAUUUAUGAUUGUGAUCAUAAAGAAAAAGAAAAAGAAAAUUUGUAUCCCCCAAGGAAAUUAAAGCUGCUGGCGCCGGACAAGGCCAACUACUAGUUUAGAAAACACAGGAACUGUUUAAUUAAUGGACUAGGAUGAUCAUAAUAAUAUACGGAGUAAUAUUAAAAUUAAGAUUUGAGAACUUCUCUGGCUUUAGCUUAGAAAAAGCAACAUUCUUCUAAGCUAAUUAAUCAAGGUUUCACCUUAACUAGUCCUUUGGCAAAGAUAUUAGUGAAAGCUUCGACCAAAUUCUUAGGGAAGCAAACUCCAAUUUCCACAUCUCCUUCCGAAUUAAGGGAACAUUUCUGGGAAACAACUUCAAGCUUUUUUGGUGUCCCCCACCCAAAAUCUGUACUAUAAUAGUCAAACUUCGGUGAUCCAGCAAUCAUAAAAGCCUUCUGCGUCGUGAUCGUUUCAAAGCCGGCGUACCACAACUCUGCGUCUUUCAAGACUCCUCCCUCCUCAUUAUUUACCUUUCUAUGAAUAGNNNNNNNNNNNNNNNNNNNNNNNNNNNNNNNNNNNNNNNNNNNNNNNNNNNNNNNNNNNNNNNNNNNNNNNNNNNNNNNNNNNNNNNNNNNNNNNNNNNNCGUUAAUAGAAAAUGUUGAAAAUAUUAACACUACAGUAAUGAUCUCACCUUAACUAGUCCUUCAGCAAACAGUGCGGAACCAGAACAUUUUUGUAGGGGGGUCAAAUUUUUUAACCCAAGGCCGAAAUUAUUAAUACCACCACUUGCUUCGGAACUUAAUAAUUAAUUAUUAUUAUUUUUUUGUCAGCAAAAAGUCUUUUUAGGUAAUGAAACAAAAAUUUGUGGUAGAACCAAAAUACCAUAUCUACAAACCAUAGUUUCGAAAUAUGAAUGCACACUCACUGAUAACAAAAAUUACCUCCAAAGAUAACAUCACAUAAUACAAUUGAUUAUACAAAAGUCAUCCAUUGGAAUUAUACUUAACUUAGUUUAUACACUAGUUUUCUUGAAGCUUCUUGUUCAUAUCUGUCAUCAAAAGGCGUCGCUAGAUUUAAGAAAACAGAAAUCAAACAAUAAUUUAAGAUUAUUCCAACAGUAACAAUUUUGAAAACUAAAUUACUAAAAGAUUAAAGAUAUAAACAUUAAAUUAUUAAAAUUCAUCAAAAAUCUUUCUCUUAGGAUUCUCAAAAGCCAAACAAAGGUAAAAGAAAAUAAAAAUUAAUUUAAAAUAAUUGGAAAAAUUAAAACAAACCUAAAUUAAAGAAAAAAUUAAAUAAAAGAAAAGCCUGAUCAAUAAAACUGAACUCCCAACCUUUUGGAUUCACCUAUAAAAGAAACCCUUGAUAAUUUUUUAUGUCCGUUUUCAAAUUAACUAGAUCUGAAUAUCUAAUAACUAUACAGUUUCAGAAAUAACCCAUAUCAAUGGAAAAAAAGUUAAUGGAUUUUGCAAUCCCAAUUUGCUUAUCCAUUUUGCUAGGUCUAAUCGUAUACUCCUUUCAAAGCCCGAAAUCUUAUUAUUCAUUCUUAAAUUUUAUAUCUAUUUUUUAUAUAACAAUUUGAAUAAAAUAAGUAAUAUUACUUUCGAUUUAACAUGUUAUUUUUUUAAAAUGUUAAUAUUUUGGUCUUAUUUUCAAAAUUAUUUAUUUUAAUGAUAAAUUUCAUUUUUUUAAAAUUUUAUUCUUUAAUUAAAUUUUUGUACAUAUUUUAUUAUGAUUUAGAUUUUUUAAUGUUUUUUUAGUUAUCUAUGUUCAGAUUUUUUAUUUUGAAGUAAAAAAAAAUUGUAGUAAUAAUUAUGCAUUAAACGUGAGUUUUUUAACUUCAAUUCAAAAUAUUUUGAUAUCCCUUUCAAGUGAGUAGCGUGUACAAGUCUGCAAUAGGAGUGAGCAAAAAACGGAUAAAAUCGAACUAUCGAAUCGAACCGAACUAUUUUAACCGAAUUAUUUCGGUUUUUAAUUUUUUUUGAAAUUUCGAUUAUAUUCGAAUUAUUAUUAAAAAAUUAAAUUUUAUAAUAUUAUCUAUAACUUCCAUGAGUAUUUUAUAAUAAUAUCUAUAACUUCUAUCAGUAUUCACUCGCCAGAUCUGAGAUCUAUAACUUCUAUGAGUAUCAGAUCUGAGAUACAAGAUGUUCACUCGCCAGAUCUGAGAUCGAUUCCUCACUCCUUAGUCCUCACUCCUCAGCAUCUUGUCUCUCUCGACUCUCGACUGUCGAUCUCCGCGCCUCUUAACUCUCAAUCUCCGCGCCUCUCGUCGUCGCCGACUGUCUGUCUCUUCGUGCCUCUCGUCGUCGCCGAUUGAGCCGGAAAUGAGGUAGGCGAGGCGGGGUGGAAGAGGAAGAGAGGAGAUGGGUAGUGGGUGGAGCUUGGAUUCGACGAAGACGUCGCCGACUGUCUGUCUCUUCGUGCCUCUCGUCGUCGCCGAUUGAGCCGGAAAUGAGGUAGGCGAGGUGGGGUGGAAGAGGAAGAGAGGAGAUGGAUAGUGGGUGGAGCUUGGAUUCGACAAAGACGGAGGCGGAAGAGCCGUCGGUGGUGGCGUAACGGUGGAGGGGGGGGGAUGGGAGUUCUGUUCUGCAACAGUAUAACCAAAAAGAUGAAGACUGCUCACUCCAAUAUUAAUGAAGGUCCAAUCAGCCCAGCAAAAGCAUUUUACACCAUAAACACCUAUAGAGGCGCAUCCCUUUGAUUCAAUAGCUUCCGCUUUGCAUUAUGUAAGAUCACUUAGUAAUAUGUUCUAUGCAAUUUAGUGCAGUUAAACACGGAGUGGGACAACUGUUAUGCAAUUUGUACUUUAUUUGUAAAUAUUCUGCUGCAUUUGUUGAAUUCAGUUAGUUGGAGAGUUAAUGAUUUUUCUUGUUAGGUGUGUUUGGUUUAGCCGAAUUUGAGCACAGGUUCGGUUAUUACCCGAAUAUUCGAAUUUACAAUUCGGUAAUUCGGUUUUCGGUUAUUCGGUUAGUUUCAUAUUUCGGGUAGCAUUUCGGAUAGUAGAAUUAGCUAUAAUUCGGUAUUCGGUUAUAACCGAAUAGUCAUUUCGGUUCGGUUAUAACCGAAUGCUCACUCUAGUCUGCAACUAAUGAAUAACAUAAAAGUGCAAAUCUUUUAAAGAGUGAAAUUCUAUAGAGAGAACACAUAAAAGUAAAAAUAGGAAACUGAUAUUUUUAUUUAUGAUUGUGAUCAUAAAGAAAAAGAAAAAGAAAAUUUGUAUCCCCCAAGGAAAUUAAAGCUGCUGGCGCCGGACAAGGCCAACUACUAGUUUAGAAAACACAGGAACUGUUUAAUUAAUGGACUAGGAUGAUCAUAAUAAUAUACGGAGUAAUAUUAAAAUUAAGAUUUGAGAACUUCUCUGGCUUUAGCUUAGAAAAAGCAACAUUCUUCUAAGCUAAUUAAUCAAGGUUUCACCUUAACUAGUCCUUUGGCAAAGAUAUUAGUGAAAGCUUCGACCAAAUUCUUAGGGAAGCAAACUCCAAUUUCCACAUCUCCUUCCGAAUUAAGGGAACAUUUCUGGGAAACAACUUCAAGCUUUUUUGGUGUCCCCCACCCAAAAUCUGUACUAUAAUAGUCAAACUUCGGUGAUCCAGCAAUCAUAAAAGCCUUCUGCGUCGUGAUCGUUUCAAAGCCGGCGUACCACAACUCUGCGUCUUUCAAGACUCCUCCCUCCUCAUUAUUUAC